This 1307-nucleotide long non-coding RNA is filed under the name Homo sapiens (human). RNAcentral describes it as "non-protein coding lnc-IGFBP7-12:1". The record is from RNAcentral. Lineage: Eukaryota; Metazoa; Chordata; Mammalia; Primates; Hominidae.
CAGCUGGCGGGGCUGCUCCUUCACUUCUUCCUUAUCAUUAAGUCCAAUGCUAAGGUAAAGCUGUGGAACUGGGUAAAUAAAUAAAUAGAAAUCAAUAAAAAUUAACAAACAAACAGAAAACACCUUUUGCAUAGAAAAGCUCCCUGUAUUCAUAGGGCAGUGUUAACUCUUGACAUGGUGGAGAAAAGACAAUAAAAAGCCAGCUUAAGUGCAGGGUGGUGAAGGUGCCUGAAAGAAAAAGCCUCUUGCUCUAUGCAACUGGGUUCCUCCAACUGAGAGAGAAACUUUUAAUCUCUGCUUCCUCUUUGCCUCUAAGAAUAGACAGAAACCACAUUGUUCUGAAUUGCAUAUCUGAUGGCUGGGAUGAAUGUUCAUUUCACCCAGUAAUAUCUCUGUAGUUGGCAACAACACUCCUAACAUUGUAAAAGAAGGGAUAAGGGCCAUGACAGCCCUGAAAAAAAGGAAGAAAAAAUGCCAUAGAAAAAACUGGAUUGGAAGGAGGUCGACAUUCCCAGCCCCCGAGAGAGAUGGGGAGGUGGGGUCCAAAGGACUGUAGCUGUGCCAUUGCUCUUAACUAGCUAAUCAGAGGUCCAGUGCUUCAUCUGCCUUCAGAAAAAUGUCUGAGGACAAGAAGCCUCGGAAAUAAGUGAAGAUUUUAGGUCUGCAUUCGCUCACCCUUCAGGUAUCCCACAGGAGCCGGCAAAAUGAUGCAAGAUUUUCUUUUCGGUGACUUUGCAAGCUGGGGAUCUCCAGUUGGUGAUGCCCUGCCGAGGUCCCACUCAGCCACACUGGCAUGCCCUCACUUGCCUGUCUUAUAUCUUGUACCCACGUUCAGCAGUUCCUGAGCUCUUGUGCUAUGCCCAAGAAGGAUAAGAAUAUACUGGACAUUGAAGAGUAAGGAGAGCAGACAAUAAGAUCUCAGUGGGUUUAUAACAUUUUUGAACUUAUAUAACUGGAAUCACACAAUAUGUAUCAUUUGGUAUUGGCUUGGCUUUGCUCAGUAUAAUGUACAAAUUGAAACAAGAACGCUUAAUUUUUGAAAUUAAUACAAAAGUUUUUUGAGAGCAAGCUUAUAAAAAUGUUACCACUGUGGUUGUUCUAGGAAAAAUAGAAAGAAAACAAAACAAAACAAUAAGCAUCAAAGUUUGCUAAAAAAUCUAGAGUACUUUUUUGUACUUCAUCUAUACUUAGUAAUAAAAUUCUUUACUAUUUAGAGACUGCAAAUUUUAAUUUCAACUUGCAUCUUUGUAUUUAAAAGUGAGACAACUUGAAAAAACAUGCAUUGAAUCUGACAUAAUAAUCAUUCU